This 460-nucleotide ribosomal RNA is filed under the name uncultured bacterium. Its description in RNAcentral is "partial 16S ribosomal RNA". It matches the Rfam family "Bacterial small subunit ribosomal RNA", at positions 338 to 795 of the family's 1533-position model. The record is from RNAcentral.
CCUACGUGAGGCAGCAGUGAGGAAUAUUGGUCAAUGGGCGCGAGCCUGAACCAGCCAAGUAGCGUGAAGGAUGACUGCCCUACGGGUUGUAAACUUCUUUUAUAAAGGCAUCAAGUGAGGCACGUGUGCCUUUUUGUAUUUACUUUAUGACUAAGGAUCGGCUAACUCCGUGCCAGCAGCCGCGGUAAUACGGCGGGUCCGAGCGUUAUCCGGAUUUAUUGGGUUUAACGGUAGCGUAGAUGGGUUGUUAAGUCAGUUGUGAAAGUUUGCGGCUCAACCGUAAAAUUGCAAUUGAUACUGGCAGCCUUGAGUACAGUUGAGGUAGGCGGAAUUCGUGGUGUAGCGGUGAAAUGCUUAGAUAUCACGAAGAACUCCGAUUGCGAAGGCAGCUUACUAAACUGCCACUGACAUUGAUGCUCGAAAGUGUGGGUAUCAAACAGGAUUAGAUACCCCAGUAGUC